GUAAUAAUCACUUAAUGAUAAGUGAGUUAAAAAAAUAGCAAUAAGUUUGUGCUUUUUUUUGUAAAAAGAUAGAUGUCUUUUAAAACCUUUUUGAUGAAUCUUACAUUAAAUUUUAUAAUAUAAAACAUGAACAUUUUUACAACAGAAUUUCUAAAUUAACCUGAUGCAUAGUGGUAACGCAUGAAUUAAUGAAAACUGAAAGCAGGAAAACAAACAUAUUUAUUACAAAUAAAAGUGAUGAAAAUAUAGCUUAAUUUUCACCUCUUUUCCAUCAACUAAUAGGUUACAUGGGUAAUCCUCUAACCAUUUACUACGAUUUUUGUGUUGCCUGGCAGCAUAGCAUACAGCUAUGGAGGCUUAGCCUUACAUUAUUGUCCAUAUCACACUUUGUGUUUUAUAUAUAAAACUCCUUAAAAACAUCUCAGUGGUUUAGGGGCUUUCCCAUACCAAAACUUGACUUCUUAUAUCAAUUUGUUAAAUCACAACCAUUGAAAACCCAAAUCCUUCUAUGACAAGAGCGAGCACAGAUUCUUCUAUAGGUUGUAAGUUGUGCAUCUAAUAUUUAAUUUUUUUAUCUGAGUAACCUUUGAGGUUUAAAGUUUUAUCUGAGUAAGUAUUGAGGUUUAAAUUUAUCUACACCUACAUAACAUAUACAUUCUACCCCACAAACUGUAAAAUGGCACAUGUGAUGAUGUAACUGUAACAAUACUGGUAAAAUUGCUUUGUUAAAUUCAUCAAAGGUUGUAAAGAAUUUAACCAAGAUCUGAUUUUCCCUACAUUUUCAGACUAGUGAAUGUUUAUAAUUUGAAUACUGUGGAUUCAUUAUUGUUCAUUGGAUACCAAUUUUGGAGGAUUUCGAGGGUAAAGAUGAACCAUGAAAUUAAAUGUUCAACAAAUGACAAAUUUCCUAUAGGUUUUGUACAUAGAAAUCAGCAAACCACGAUUUGAAAUAUGAACGAAAACACAUGGUUUCCUCAAUCCAGGUAAAUUGAUACCCACGAAAAUAAAUGAAUUCACAGUAAACGAGGAAUAAGCUUAUAUGGUUUUUAGUGUUUAAGACACAAAACUUUAUUUAUUAUGCAUGCUAUUGUAUCAAACCACAGAGAACAAAAAUUCAGUUUAUUAGUUUAUAUACUUAAUUAUGUAUAUUAAACAAUGACGUGUUUGUUAACUUAUUAGUGUGUUUAUAUGUAUAAAAGAUGAUUUUCAAUGUUU
This 1215-nucleotide long non-coding RNA is filed under the name Mytilus galloprovincialis (Mediterranean mussel). The record is from RNAcentral. Lineage: Eukaryota; Metazoa; Mollusca; Bivalvia; Mytilida; Mytilidae.